UGGGAGAGGAGAUACACAUGUUUAUUUGGUGUGAAAGCUCAAUAUUUUUCUUUUUGAUUGUAUUUGUAUAGGGUUUGUAAUGUUAUGUUUUGUAAAUAAAAAAUUAUCGACACGUUUCAUUAAUAUUUAUUCUUAAUAUGUAUAUAUACGUAGUUGGCCCCUAUUGCUUUGACCCGAAAUUUGCACAAGCCUACUUCUCUUCAACUCAAAAAAGCAAAAAAAAAAAAAAUCAAGAUUUUCACAAAAGAAUUCAAAAUAAACACUAAUUUUCCAUAAAUAACUUCACUUCUUUCAAAAAAAAAAAAAAAAUAAUAAAAAAGAACAUACACACAAACAAACAAUAGAAAACAAAAAUAAGUGACCCAACAAAUCCAAUACGGGAUGUUUCUUCAUCUUUCCAUCCUGUCAUCGACCUUUUCAUAAAUAUUAGAUCAAAAAUCUCAUACCAAGAAACCAAACAAUCUUAACAAAAAUUUCAUCAAUCAACCAAAAAGGGUCAAAAUUUCAAUUCUUGAUAAAGAUUGAAUUUUUUAGCUAUAUACUAAUCAGUGGGGUUCACAAUCACACACAUGUACAUUAUUUCUAGCUUCUUUAAAUUAGUCCAGAUGAGAAGCUGCUAAGGGGGGUGACAAAAGGAUGUAUCAGUGGAGAAAGUUUGAAUUUUUUGAGGAGAAAUUUUCUGGGAAAGUAGCAAAUGAUAUAACUGGUAAGAUCCAAUGUUGUUCAAGUGGUAAAGGAAGGAUUGUGUUGGGUUGUGAUGAAGGCUUUUGAACAGCUUCAGCUUGCUUAGCCCCCUCAGUGUACUUGUUCUUCUUGCUAAGGAUGUCCCCGACAGCUUGACGACUACUAAUUGAAAAUUUCUGUUUCAGUUGUUCAUGUGUGAUUUUUGGAUUGUCCUCUUUGUAUUGACACAAUGCCAUUUUUGUUUCUAGAGAAAUAACUUGACGUUUAGACCCCAUAUUGCGUGAAUAAAGAAUAUGUGAUGGA
This is a long non-coding RNA of Lycium barbarum (goji berry), 987 nucleotides long. RefSeq lists it as uncharacterized. The transcript is spliced from 2 exons. NCBI's taxonomy places the organism in Eukaryota, Viridiplantae, Streptophyta, Magnoliopsida, Solanales, Solanaceae. The record is from RefSeq and is a predicted model, not a curated record.